Molecule: non-coding RNA, 1197 nt
Organism: Misgurnus anguillicaudatus (oriental weatherfish)
Lineage: Eukaryota; Metazoa; Chordata; Actinopteri; Cypriniformes; Cobitidae
Source: the annotation of a RefSeq genome assembly
AGCCCGGGAUACACUGCACGAUUAUUCGCUGUCCCAGACGAAAGAUUGCCAUCGUGAAACAAUUGUCGCUAUUUCAGUGAUUGUGGCUCUUCAUCGGUGGUCCUAUGUCGUACAAUGAGAGAGGUUCAAAGACGGCUGUUUUCCUGGUCUUGCGUCCAAGGAUAGCCUACAAUAGUUUUCUGACAGUGUCAGAAAUUCGGCGUGAUCACCGUACAGUGUGUUUGCUGCUAUGACCUGCACGCUGGUAUUUGUUUACCACGAGCGCAUGCUGGUGAAGUUGUGCUAACGUUUGACGCAGCCGCCGAAGCUUCCGUGUAAUCAUCGUACAGUCUACAUGCUUGUCGUACCCGAGUUUAAACGAUCCAUGUCGCACAGUGUUUUAAGGUAAUGAUCUUAUAGGAGGGCAAAAAUCCUGCAGUGUAUUCCGGGCUUUACAUUGUUUGUUGGUUCUUGUGUGUUAUGUAUUCCCUUCUUGUCGUCCAUUAAAGUAUUCAGUAUUGUUAAAUUCAUGUUUUUCAUCUGUGUAGGGUUAAUUAGGUUUCUUUGUUUUGUCUGUAAUGUGCAGAGCCUUUAGUUUUCAGAGGAGGAGUUUAACACAGGCACAGUUAAACAGCAUUGACUGCAUAUUACACAAACAUCUGCACAGCAGACACCCAUCAUUUCAUGUCUUUAAGCCUACAUCAUGUUGAUCUGGAUAAUAAUAUUGACCUCAUCUGCUGGUGGUAGCAAGGCCAUAGAUAACAUCACUCCAUACAGUGAAACUGCAUUUGCUAUUGAGGGCGACACUGUUACACUGUCUUGUAACUAUAGUGCUUCUGUAGUCAAUAGUCUUCAGUGGUAUCGGAUGUACACAGAUUCGCCACCACAGUUCCUUAUACUGGAUACAUAUGGAACAGUUAUUGAUGCUAAACCUCCAGUUUCAGGAUUCUCCAUCAAACACAGAAAAGCUGACAGCAGUGUGGAUCUGAAGAUCUCAUCUGUUAAAGUCACAGACUCUGCUCUGUAUUAUUGUGCCCUGCAGCCCACAGUGACAGGAAACACAACAACACUGUACAAAAACCUGACAGCAGAAAAAUAAUAAACCAGUAUUAGUUUAAUAAAUUAUAAAUAUGUAUUUUAUUAAUAUUAUAGGAUGUGUUAUAUUCUGGGGCUAAUGUUAAUGCAAAUAUAAGAAUGUCAACUAUUUUUAUGUGCAGU